RNAcentral lists this ribosomal RNA (1101 nucleotides) under Triticum aestivum (bread wheat). Its description in RNAcentral is "partial small subunit ribosomal RNA". Lineage: Eukaryota; Viridiplantae; Streptophyta; Magnoliopsida; Poales; Poaceae. The record is from RNAcentral.
AUGGCAUCUGUAGAGGAGUUGGAGGAUGAGGAGGAGGAGGAGGAGGUGGAGGACGUCGAGCCUUUAUUGUACGACCGGGCGAAGUGGGUGGCCUGGGCGGUGGAGGAGAAGGAGAGGUCCCGGCGGGAGGAAGAGGAGAAGGCUCGGAAGCGGGAGGAGAACCGGCGGAGAAGCGAGGCACACGAUGCGGUCAUGGACUCCAUCAUCGAGCACGAUCCCAAGGUGGGGCGCGACGUCUACACCCGGUUUUUCCUCAGGGACUUCUCCGUCUUCAACAUCGACGAGGAGUCAUCUGUCCCUCCAAUGCGAUACACCGAUAGUAUCUACCAAGAUGAAUUUGGGCUAGAAGACUCUGCAAACAUCCUCUCUGUCAGCAUAGUCUCCUCAGAUGUAGGCUUCCCAGUCGAUGUCUAUGGCCGUGUCAUUGCCAGAGACAGCAUUGACUACAAGUGCAUUUAUCUCUUUCACCGCAAUAGAGAUGAUUGCCAGCGUGUCAACGAGGAUGGAAUGCUGAUUUUAACUGGCCCAUAUCGAGGUCUAGUGCUGGUUGAUUUCAUCUAUCUAGAGAUAGAUCUUAAAAUCAGGGAAGAAGGAGUUCCAGAAAGGCCAUUUAGCAAGGGUCUAAUAAGUAUUGAUGGCCGAGUACUGUCUAGAGAGAAAGAUGUCAUGGUUAGAAGUGAAACCCUUGAGAGCUGGCUCAGCACUACAGAAGUGAGAUUCACAACUGUCCUGAACGCAGUCGAGUGCACCUUUGAAAUCAAGCUCACUGAGGGGCUUUUUAAAGGAAAUAUAACAGUUGGCAUCGCGGAUAAAGCUCGCAAGCUGGACAAUGAACACACGAUUGUGAUUCAUGACAGCACAGCAGAUGGCGUGGUUACAAGUGAUGAAAGUGGAGUUAUCAAACUCCGGCGAAGUGUCAUUACUAUCUGUCUGGAAAGAAAUGUGAUGUUUCGCAUAAAUAAUGAGGCUGCUGGUGUUUGUGUUGAACGAACCUUUGGUUUCACUCCACGCCGCACUGGUGUAGAUGAAGAGAAAAUUACAUGUGGUGCUGGGAAGUUCGGAUUCAGGAUUGUCUGGUCCUUGAUGGACUUUAGGCUGUAA